Molecule: ribosomal RNA, 492 nt
Filed under: Micrococcus luteus
Lineage: Bacteria; Bacillati; Actinomycetota; Actinomycetes; Micrococcales; Micrococcaceae
Description: partial 16S ribosomal RNA
Rfam family: Bacterial small subunit ribosomal RNA
Source: RNAcentral
CGGUUUCCCCUUUGGGGCGGGUUCACAGGUGGUGCAUGGUUGUCGUCAGCUCGUGUCGUGAGAUGUUGGGUUAAGUCCCGCAACGAGCGCAACCCUCGUUCCAUGUUGCCAGCACGUCGUGGUGGGGGACUCAUGGGGAGACUGCCGGGGGUCAACUCGGAGGAAGGUGAGGACGACGUCAAAAUCAUCAUGCCCCCUUAUGUCUUUGGGGCUUCACGCAUGCUACAAUGGCCGGUACAAUGGGGUUUGCGAUACUGUGAGGUGGGAGCUAAUCCCCAAAAAAGCCGGUCUCAGUUCGGAUUGGGGGUCUGCAACUCGACCCCCAUGAAGUCGGAGUCGCUAGUAAUCGCAGAUCAGCAACGCUGCGGUGAAUACGUUUCCCGGGGCCUUGUACACACCGCCCCGUCAAGUCACGAAAAGUCGGUAACACCCGAAGCCGGUGGCCUAACCCUUGUGGGGGGGGAGCCGUCGAAGGUGGGACCAGCGUUUGGG